UCUUUGAUGCCAUUGAUAGAAAAAAUAGGAGUAAAAUUAGAAAUCAAUGUGUACCUUUUUCUGUUACAACGGAAGGUGAUGAUUUUGCUACUGAAAGAAUCGCCUCAAGUCCACUUUGUCCCUCUCUUGAAAGUGGAGUAUUAUUUCACAAAUUAAAUGCCUUUUUAUGGUAUUUUUUUCUUGAUCUGCGUUUUCCUACUCAAGAAAUUUCUUUUAAUUUUUCUCAUGUUUUGUCUGAAGAAGCAGCAGUAUUAUGUAUAGAGAAAUUAGGCAAAUAAACAGUUGUUGAGUAACUAUUC
RNAcentral lists this long non-coding RNA (299 nucleotides) under Capsicum annuum. RNAcentral describes it as "long non-coding RNA (CANN_LNC002108)". Lineage: Eukaryota; Viridiplantae; Streptophyta; Magnoliopsida; Solanales; Solanaceae. The record is from RNAcentral.